GACGAACGCUGGCGGCGUGCCUAAUACAUGCAAGUCGAGCGGACGGAUGGGAGCUUGCUCCCAGACCGUCAGCGGCGGACGGGUGAGUAACACGUGGGCACCCUGCCUGUAAGACUGGGAUAACUCCGGGAAACCGGGGCUAAUACCGGAUAACUCAUUCCCUCACAUGAGGGAAAGCUGAAAGAUGGCAUCUCGCUAUCACUUACAGAUUGGCCCGCGGCGCAUUAGCUAGUUGGUGAGGUAACGGCUCACCAAGGCGACGAUGCGUAGCCGACCUGAGAGGGUGAUCGGCCACACUGGGACUGAGACACGGCCCAGACUCCUACGGGAGGCAGCAGUAGGGAAUCUUCCGCAAUGGACGAAAGUCUGACGGAGCAACGCCGCGUGAGUGAUGAAGGUUUUCGGAUCGUAAAACUCUGUUGUCAGGGAAGAACAAGUACCGGAGUAACUGCCGGUACCUUGACGGUACCUGACCAGAAAGCCACGGCUAACUACGUG
Molecule: ribosomal RNA, 498 nt
Filed under: uncultured bacterium
Lineage: Bacteria
Description: partial 16S ribosomal RNA
Rfam family: Bacterial small subunit ribosomal RNA
Source: RNAcentral